RNAcentral lists this ribosomal RNA (992 nucleotides) under Colletotrichum sp. MCA2773. Its description in RNAcentral is "eukaryotic LSU rRNA". It matches the Rfam family "Eukaryotic large subunit ribosomal RNA", at positions 68 to 1085 of the family's 3401-position model. Lineage: Eukaryota; Fungi; Ascomycota; Sordariomycetes; Glomerellales; Glomerellaceae. The record is from RNAcentral.
ACAGGGAUUGCCUCAGUAACGGCGAGUGAAGCGGCAACAGCUCAAAUUUGAAAUCUGGCUCCUUCGGGGUCCGAGUUGUAAUUUGCAGAGGAUGCGUCGGGUACGGGUCCCUACCGAGUUCCCUGGAACGGGACGCCAUAGAGGGUGAGAGCCCCGUCUGGUAGGAUACCCAGCCCAUGUGACGCUCCCUCGACGAGUCGAGUAGUUUGGGAAUGCUGCUCUAACGGGAGGUAUACUCCUUCCAAAGCUAAAUACCGGCUGGAGACCGAUAGCGCACAAGUAGAGUGAUCGAAAGAUGAAAAGCACUUUGAAAAGAGAGUCAAACAGCACGUGAAAUUGUUAAAAGGGAAGCACUCGCUACCAGACUUGGGUUCGGCGGUUCAACCGGGGCCACGCCCCGGGGCAUUCCGCCGGCUCAGGCCAGCAUCAGCUUUCCGUUGGGGGCAAAGACGUCGGGAAUGUAGCUCCUCUUCGGGGGAGUGUUAUAGCCCGGCGUGUCAUACCCUUCGGGGGGCUGAGGUACGCGCUUCUGCAAGGAUGCUGGCGUAAUGGUAGCUAGUGACCCGUCUUGAAACACGGACCAAGGAGUCAACCUUAUGUGCGAGUGCCCGGGUGUAAAACCCCAGCGCGGAAUGAAAGUGAACGUAGGUGAGAGCUUCGGCGCAUCACCGACCGAUCCUGAUGUCCUCGGACGGAUUUGAGUGAGAGCAUAUAGGGUUGGACCCGAAAGAAGAUGAACUAUGCGUGUGUAGGGUGAAGCCAGAGGAAACUCUGGUGGAGGCUCGCAGCGGUUCUGACGUGCAAAUCGAUCGUCAAACAUGCGCAUGGGGGCGAAAGACUAAUCGAAUCUUCUGGUAGCUGGUUUCCGCCGAAGUUUCCCUCAGGAUAGCAGUGUUGAUCCCAGUUUUAUGAGGUAAAGCGAAUGAUUAGGGACUCGGGGGCGCUAUAUUGCCUUCAUCCAUUCUCAAACUUUAAAUAUGUAAGAAGUCCCC